UGGGGAAUAUUGCACAAUGGGCGAAAGCCUGAUGCAGCGACGCCGCGUGGGGGAUGACGGCCUUCUGGUUGUAAACCUCUUUCAGCAAGGAAGAAGCGAAAGUGACGGUACUUGCAGAAGAAGCGCCGGCUAACUACGUGCCAGCAGCCGCGGUAAUACGUAGGGCGCAAGCGUUGUCCGGAAUUAUUGGGCGUAAAGGGCUUGUAGGUGGCUUGUCGCGUCUGCCGUGAAAACUCGAGGCUUAACCUUGGGCGUGCGGUGGGUACGGGCAGGCUAGAGUGCGGUAGGGGAGACUGGAAUUCCUGGUGUAGCGGUGAAAUGCGCAGAUAUCAGGAGGAACACCGAUGGCGAAGGCAGGUCUCUGGGCCGUUACUGACACUGAGAAGCGAAAGCAUGGGGAGCGAACAGG
RNAcentral lists this ribosomal RNA (409 nucleotides) under Actinomycetes bacterium. RNAcentral's name for it is "Actinobacteria bacterium partial 16S ribosomal RNA". It matches the Rfam family "Bacterial small subunit ribosomal RNA", at positions 355 to 776 of the family's 1533-position model. Lineage: Bacteria; Bacillati; Actinomycetota; Actinomycetes. The record is from RNAcentral.